UACGGAGGGGGCUAGCGUUGUUCGGAAUUACUGGGCGUAAAGCGCACGUAGGCGGCUUUGUAAGUUAGAGGUGAAAGCCCAGGGCUCAACCCUGGAUUGCCUUUAAGACUGCAUCGCUUGAACAUCGGAGAGGUAAGUGGAAUUCCGAGUGUAGAGGUGAAAUUCGUAGAUAUUCGGAAGAACACCAGUGGCGAAGGCGACUUACUGGACGACUGUUGACACUGAGGUGCGAAAGCGUGGGGAGCAAACAGG
This 252-nucleotide ribosomal RNA is filed under the name uncultured bacterium. RNAcentral describes it as "partial 16S ribosomal RNA". It matches the Rfam family "Bacterial small subunit ribosomal RNA", at positions 524 to 776 of the family's 1533-position model. The record is from RNAcentral.